Molecule: ribosomal RNA, 550 nt
Filed under: uncultured bacterium
Lineage: Bacteria
Description: partial 16S ribosomal RNA
Rfam family: Bacterial small subunit ribosomal RNA
Source: RNAcentral
AGUNCGAACGGUAGCAKGCCUUCGGGCGCUGCGAGUGGCGGACCGGGUGAGUAACGCGUAGGAAUCUGCCUGRUAGUGGGGGACAACKURGGGAAACUYAMGCUAAUACCGCAUACGWYCCCUAUUGAAAGAUGGGGRGGAAAGCGGGGGCUCUUCGGACCUCGCGCUAUCAGAUGAGCCUGCGUUAGAUWAGCUAGUUGGURGGGUAAAGGCCUACCAAGGCGACGAUCUAUAGCUGGUCUGAGAGGACGAUCAGCCACACUGGGACUGAGACACGGCCCAGACUCCUACGGGAGGCAGCAGUGGGGAAUAUUGGACAAUGGGCGCAAGCCUGAUCCAGCAAUACCGCGUGUGUGAAGAAGGCCCUMGGGUUGUAAAGCACUUUCAACGGGGAGGAAAACCUGCCGGCCAAUACCCGGCRGCUUGACAUUACCUGUAGAAGAAGCACCGGCUAACUCCGUGCCAGCAGCCGCGGUAAUACGGAGGGUGCGAGCGUUAAUCGGAAUUACUGGGCGUAAAGCGUGCGUAGGCGGUGAUUAAGUCAGAUGUG